Molecule: ribosomal RNA, 389 nt
Filed under: uncultured bacterium
Lineage: Bacteria
Description: bacterial SSU rRNA
Rfam family: Bacterial small subunit ribosomal RNA
Source: RNAcentral
AUUAAACGCUGGCGGCAUGCCUUACACAUGCAAGUCGAACGGCAGCACGGGGGCAACCCUGGUGGCGAGUGGCGAACGGGUGAGUAAAGCAUCGGAACGUGCCCUGGAGUGGGGGGAUAACGUAGCGAAAGUUACGCUAAUACCGCAUAUUCUGUGAGCAGGAAAGCAGGGGAUCGCAAGACCUUGCGCUCUGGGAGCGGCCGAUGUCGGAUUAGCUAGUUGGUGGGGUAAAGGCCUACCAAGGCGACGAUCCGUAGCGGGUCUGAGAGGAUGAUCCGCCACACUGGGACUGAGACACGGCCCAGACUCCUACGGGAGGCAGCAGUGGGGAAUUUUGGACAAUGGGCGAAAGCCUGAUCCAGCCAUGCCGCGUGAGUGAAGAAGGCCUC